AUGCCAAUAUUUUACUCCCACUGGAGUCCGACAGGCCUAUGCAGCCUAUUAGGAAGUGAAACUUCUUUUCCGUGGCGCCUCGGAGGCGUUCAGAUGCUUCAGGGGAAGCUGAGUAUCUCCUGCCCAGCCACUGGCUGCCAGAAACUCACUGAAGUGGACGAGGAACGCGAACUUCCUACUUUGUAUGAGAAGCACAUGGCCACCCAAGCUGCUGCUGAGGUGAAGAAGGGAAGGGUUAUGUGCUCAGGAUCAGGGGUGGAAACAACAAGGUAGGUUUCCCCACGAAGCGGGAUGUCUUGACCCAGGGCCAGGUCUGCGGCUGAGUAAGGGGGUACCUGUUACUGACCAAGGAGGAUUGGAGAAAGGGAGAACAAGUCUGUUCGGGUUGCAUUGUGGAUGCCAAUCUGAGUGAUCUUGGUUAUUAUUUAAAAAAAGAGAGAGAGAGAGAGAGAGAGAAGAACAUCCCUGGACUGACUGACACCACAGUACCUGGGUGUCUGGGGCCCAAAAGAACUAGCAGAGUCUGCAAACUUUUCAAUCUGUCUAAAGAAGAUGACAUUCGCCAAUAAGUGGUGAGACAGCCCUUAAACAAAGAAGGUGAGAAACCGAGGGCCAAAGCACCCGAGAUUCAGCCUCUGUGACUCCACGUGUCCUGCCACAUAAACACUUGUGUAUCGCUCUGAAGAAACAACGUACUAAGGAAAGUAAGGAAGAGGCUGCCGAAUAUAAUAAACUUUUGGCCAAGAGAAUGAAGGAAGCCAAAGAAAAGCGCCAGGAACAGAUCGCCAAGAGACGCAGGCUGUCCUCUCUGAGAGCUUCCACUUCUAAGUCUGAAUCCACUCAAAAAUAAGAUUGUUUGAGUUACAAAUAAAUGAGAUC
RNA transcript from Otolemur garnettii (small-eared galago), 879 nucleotides. It is a transcript of the gene named 40S ribosomal protein S6 pseudogene, with no coding region annotated. The transcript has a single exon. The record is from RefSeq and is a predicted model, not a curated record. NCBI's taxonomy places the organism in Eukaryota, Metazoa, Chordata, Mammalia, Primates, Galagidae.